GACAGAGGGGGCAAGCGUUGCUCGGAAUUACUGGGCGUAAAGGGCGCGUAGGCGGGAUGGCAAGUCGGUCGUGAAAUCCCUCGGCUCAACCGAGGAACGUCGAUCGAUACUGCUGUUCUUGAGGAUUGCAGAGGAGACUGGAAUUCCCGGUGUAGCGGUGAAAUGUGUAGAUAUCAGGAGGAACACCGGUGGCGAAGGCGGGUCUCUGGGCAACAACUGACGCUGAGGAGCGAAAGCGUGGGGAGCGAACAGG
Molecule: ribosomal RNA, 253 nt
Filed under: uncultured bacterium
Lineage: Bacteria
Description: partial 16S ribosomal RNA
Rfam family: Bacterial small subunit ribosomal RNA
Source: RNAcentral